GAUGAACGCUAGCUACAGGCUUAACACAUGCAAGUCGAGGGGCAGCAUGAACUUAGCUUGCUAAGUUUGAUGGCGACCGGCGCACGGGUGAGUAACACGUAUCCAACCUGCCGAUGACUCGGGGAUAGCCUUUCGAAAGAAAGAUUAAUACCCGAUGGCAUAGUUCUUCCGCAUGGUAGAACUAUUAAAGAAUUUCGGUCAUCGAUGGGGAUGCGUUCCAUUAGGUUGUUGGCGGGGUAACGGCCCACCAAGCCUUCGAUGGAUAGGGGUUCUGAGAGGAAGGUCCCCCACAUUGGAACUGAGACACGGUCCAAACUCCUACGGGAGGCAGCAGUGAGGAGUAUUGGUCAAUGGACGAGAGUCUGAACCAGCCAAGUAGCGUGAAGGAUGACUGCCCUAUGGGUUGUAAACUUCUUUUAUACGGGAAUACAGUGAGGCACGUGUGCCUUUUUGUAUGUACCGUAUGAAUAAGGAUCGGCUAACUCCGUG
This 489-nucleotide ribosomal RNA is filed under the name uncultured bacterium. Its description in RNAcentral is "partial 16S ribosomal RNA". It matches the Rfam family "Bacterial small subunit ribosomal RNA", at positions 28 to 507 of the family's 1533-position model. The record is from RNAcentral.